Ipomoea nil (Japanese morning glory) is the source of this 72-nucleotide transfer RNA. It matches the Rfam family "tRNA". From Rfam's summary of the family: Transfer RNA (tRNA) molecules are approximately 80 nucleotides in length. NCBI's taxonomy places the organism in Eukaryota, Viridiplantae, Streptophyta, Magnoliopsida, Solanales, Convolvulaceae. The record is from Rfam.
GCACCUAUGGCUUAAUGGAUAAAACACUUGACUUUUAAUCAAGCGAUUGUGGGUUUGAAUCCCUAUGGUGUG